GGCAACAGAAGCAGGAGUGUCACUGGCUGCCAGAUCACUGAGGGUCCCACAAUGUGGCCCGGGCUGUGAUUUACCUGGGUGAGACAGCUUGAGUCCCCAUCCUGGAUUCUAAGACAUCCCUGCUGAGAGAGCCCAGGUAGCAGAGUUUUGCUCACUCACCACUGAAGAUGUUGCCGGUUCCCAGCUAGAGGGAGGAAGCCACUGUAGAGCUAAAGGACGGUGCAAUGUAGCAGGACAACUCAUGGAGCCCCCCCGGGCCCAUCGAGUACCAGACUGGCUGACCCCGUAGGGUUGGC
This 296-nucleotide long non-coding RNA is filed under the name Macaca fascicularis (crab-eating macaque). RNAcentral's name for it is "lncRNA (ENSMFAG00000062283.1)". Lineage: Eukaryota; Metazoa; Chordata; Mammalia; Primates; Cercopithecidae. The record is from RNAcentral.